This 127-nucleotide small RNA is filed under the name Arabidopsis thaliana (thale cress). Its description in RNAcentral is "ATSL269070". The record is from RNAcentral. Lineage: Eukaryota; Viridiplantae; Streptophyta; Magnoliopsida; Brassicales; Brassicaceae.
UCUUAAAAACCUAAGUAUUGAAUCUUUGUUAGAAGAUACAAAAACAAAGACUCAUACGGACUUCGACUACAUUAUCAAAGCUUUGAGAAGCAAGAAGAAGUUUGGUUAGUGUUUUGGAUUCAAAUAU